UUCACAACACAUGUUUCAUAAGCUAUAGUCCAAAACAGAGAGAGAGUUGAAUUGGAAUACCAGUCAAAAGAUCGGCAGAUGAGGUCGGUGUUAAGCGCAGACUGAGAACAACGAGCGAUUGCCGAUCGCGAUCGCGAUCGCGAUUGCCGAUGAUGGUGAAGGGGACGAACUAACGCGGAUGAGAUCGGUAUUAGGCGGAGACUGAGAGCAACAAGCGAUUUCCGAUCGCGAUCGCGAUCGCCGAUGACGGUGAAGGGGACGAGCUAACGCGGAUGAGAUCGGUAUUAGGCGGAGACUGAGAGCAACAAGCGAUUUCCGAUCGCGAUCGCGAUCGCCGAUGACGGUGAAGGGGACGAGCUAACGCGGAUGAGAUCGGUAUUAGGCGGAGAUUGAGAGCAACAAGCGAUUAUGGUGAAGGCGACAAGCGUGGUGUCAGCGAAAUCGGGAGAAUUGUUUUGAGGCGUUCAAUCUGGGGUAGCAACUAUGAGUCUAUGAGUGCGCAUAGGUUACUCACAGCCAAAGAAAAAGAGGAAAAGCUAUAGCAAAAGAUAUUUCUGUGAUUGCACAUGGGUAUAUGAUUGCACUUAAGAAAAAGAGAAAAGAUUUGCCUCUACUCCUAAAACAUCAAAGAGCCCGUCAGAUGUUCGGAGGUCUAUUCUCUCUCAACUGGAAGGGAAAAGGUUCUGAGUUUAGGUUCUACUAAAACAGGCUCCAUUCAGAGGAACAUGAUUGUCUGCAAUUCUUGAUUGGGGAUUGUGAACAAGCAAUCCAAUUAUCAUGGGAGAAGAAUUACAAAAUUCGUAAGGUUUGUAGGUGGAAAGACAAAUCCUUUGGAGCAGUCCAAGUCUGAAAAGAAGGAGUAAAACGAGGUUGUUUUGCUACAACUAAAUACGUAGUAAAUAGUUGCAUGCUUCUUUCCACUAGGAGUUAUGCUCAAUUGGUUUCUCUUCAGAUUGGAAAAUUUGCUUAAAGAAUGAAUGGCUAGGGAUCUUCAAGCCAAUUCGCUAUCUUGUUACAUCUUCCACGACAGGUCGUGAAUGCAAAUCUCAUGUGAAGACCUACGAUGAAAGAAGAACCCAAGGCUUUUGCUAAAGCCACCAUGGAAAAAUCACUCAUUAACUCAAACAGCUCGACCGAUUCCUCAAUACGGUCUUUCAACAGAAAGCUUCAAGGCCUUGGUGGGUCUCUCUUCUUCCUCUUUACUUUCAUCAUCAACAACAUUGAUGACAUUCAAAGCUGCUACUGUUGGUGGUCAAGACCAAGAAGCACCAAGACCUUAGAGUGGGUAACGGAUUGUAGAUGGUUGAUUUUGGACUGUGGAUUGCUACAUGGAGAUGGGAAAGAGAAAUUGGUACCAUUGCAGAAAAGAGAAAUUGUAGAUGGUUAAGCCACGGUGGUGCAUAUAGGCCAAGAUUGAAUAAUUGAAUUCAUGAUUUGCUGAGCUUGAUUCAGGUUUGAUAUUUUCUGUGUUCAUAUUCAA
Long non-coding RNA from Quercus lobata, 1480 nucleotides. RefSeq lists it as uncharacterized. The record is from RefSeq and is a predicted model, not a curated record. The transcript is spliced from 7 exons. Lineage: Eukaryota; Viridiplantae; Streptophyta; Magnoliopsida; Fagales; Fagaceae.